UGGGGAAUUUUCCGCAAUGGGCGCAAGCCUGACGGAGCAAUACCGCGUGAGGGAGGAAGGCCUUUGGGUUGUAAACCUCUUUUCUCUAGGAAGAAGGACUGACGGUACUAGAGGAAUCAGCAUCGGCUAACUCCGUGCCAGCAGCCGCGGUAAGACGGAGGAUGCAAGCGUUAUCCGGAAUUAUUGGGCGUAAAGCGUCCGUAGGCGGUUAUUCAAGUCUGCUGUUAAAGACCACAGCUCAACUGUGGGCAGGCGGUGGAAACUGAGUAACUAGAGUUCGGUAGGGGUAGAGGGAAUUCCCAGUGUAGCGGUGAAAUGCGUAGAUAUUGGGAGGAAUACCGGUGGCGAAGGCGACCGCCUGGACGGGUACUGACACUGAGGCGCGAAAGCGUGGGGAGCAAACAGGAUUAGAUACCCCCGUAGUCC
This 426-nucleotide ribosomal RNA is filed under the name uncultured prokaryote. RNAcentral describes it as "bacterial SSU rRNA". It matches the Rfam family "Bacterial small subunit ribosomal RNA", at positions 355 to 796 of the family's 1533-position model. The record is from RNAcentral.